GAUGAAGAACGCAGCGAAAUGCGAUAAGUAAUGUGAAUUGCAGAAUUCAGUGAAUCAUCGAAUCUUUGAACGCCUCUUGCGCUCCUUGGUAUUCUGAGGAGCAUGCCUGUUUGAGUGUCAUUAAAUUCUCAACUACACUGACUUUAAAUUGGUGUGGCUUGGAUUUGGGGGGAAAAUUGUUGUGGGCUUUUUGUAUAGUCUGCUCCCCUGAAAUUGAUUAGCGGUACCUUUGUGGAACUGUCUACAGGUGUGAUAAUUAUCUACAUCUUAGACAUCUGCUGGAAUGCUGCUUUCUAAACCUUACUUGUAUUGACAAUCUUGACCUCAAAUCAGGUAGGACUACCCGCUGAACUUAAGCAUAUCAAUAAGCGGAGGA
Molecule: unclassified non-coding RNA, 376 nt
Filed under: soil metagenome
Description: partial contains 5.8S ribosomal RNA, internal transcribed spacer 2, and large subunit ribosomal RNA
Rfam family: 5.8S ribosomal RNA (bases 1-120)
Source: RNAcentral